Molecule: non-coding RNA, 23 nt
Filed under: Gallus gallus (chicken)
Lineage: Eukaryota; Metazoa; Chordata; Aves; Galliformes; Phasianidae
Also listed under: 1 other name
Source: RNAcentral
AUCCAGUCUGUUUUGGCAUCUGA